This 410-nucleotide ribosomal RNA is filed under the name uncultured bacterium. Its description in RNAcentral is "bacterial SSU rRNA". It matches the Rfam family "Bacterial small subunit ribosomal RNA", at positions 28 to 431 of the family's 1533-position model. The record is from RNAcentral.
GACGAACGCUGGCGGCGUGCCUAACACAUGCAAGUCGAACGAGGUCCAAGGAAGCUUGCUUCCUGAAGACCUAGUGGCGAACGGGUGAGUAACACGUGAGAAACCUGCCUCGGAGUGGGGAAUAACUCGGGGAAACUCGAGCUAAUACCGCAUACCUUCACAUGAUCGCAUGGUCGAGUGAAGAAAGAAUUUCGCUCUGAGAGGGUCUCGCGGCCUAUCAGCUUGUUGGUGGGGUAACGGCCUACCAAGGCAACGACGGGUAGCUGGUUUGAGAGAACGAUCAGCCACACUGGGACUGAGACACGGCCCAGACUCCUACGGGAGGCAGCAGUGGGGAAUCGUUGCGCAAUGGGCGAAAGCCUGACGCAGCAACGCCGCGUGCGGGAUGACGGCCUUCGUGGUUGUAACGC